GCUUGUCUCAAAGAUUAAGCCAUGCAUGUCUAAGUAUAAACGACUUUAUACAGUGAAACUGCGAAUGGCUCAUUAAAUCAGUUAUAGUUUAUUUGAUAAUACCUUACUACUUGGAUAACCGUGGUAAUUCUAGAGCUAAUACAUGCUACACAACCCGACUUCUGGAAGGGGUGUAUUUAUUAGAUGGAAACCAAUGCGGGGUAACCCGGAAUAUGGUGAUUCAUAAUAACUUUCGGAUCGAUUUAUCGAUGCAUCAUUCAAGUUUCUGCCCUAUCAGCUUUGGAUGGUAGGGUAUUGGCCUACCAUGGCUUUAACGGGUAACGGAGAAUUAGGGUUCGAUUCCGGAGAGGGAGCCUGAGAAAUGGCUACCACAUCCAAGGAAGGCAGCAGG
This 391-nucleotide ribosomal RNA is filed under the name uncultured Chrysophyceae. RNAcentral's name for it is "partial small subunit ribosomal RNA". It matches the Rfam family "Eukaryotic small subunit ribosomal RNA", at positions 30 to 432 of the family's 1831-position model. Lineage: Eukaryota; Chrysophyceae. The record is from RNAcentral.